AUACGUAGGGGGCGAGCGUUAUUCGGAAUUACUGGGCGUAAAGGGUGCGUAGGCGGCCUUUUAAGUCAGAUGUGAAAGGCUACGGCUUAACCGUAGUUAGCAUUUGAAACUAAGAGGCUUGAGUGCAGGAGAGGAGAGUGGAAUUCCUAGUGUAGCGGUGAAAUGCGUAGAUAUUAGGAGGAACACCAGUGGCGAAGGCGACUCUCUGGACUGCAACUGACGCUGAGGCACGAAAGCGUGGGUAGCGAACAGGAUUAGAUACCCUGGUAGUCCACGCCGUAAACGAUGAGUGCUAGGUGUUGGUGGGGACACCCAUCAGUGCCGCAGCUAACGCAUUAAGCACUCCGCCUGGGGAGUACGGUCGCAAGACUGAA
Molecule: ribosomal RNA, 374 nt
Filed under: uncultured bacterium
Lineage: Bacteria
Description: bacterial SSU rRNA
Rfam family: Bacterial small subunit ribosomal RNA
Source: RNAcentral